Molecule: ribosomal RNA, 490 nt
Filed under: uncultured bacterium
Lineage: Bacteria
Description: partial 16S ribosomal RNA
Rfam family: Bacterial small subunit ribosomal RNA
Source: RNAcentral
AUUGAACGCUGGCGGCAGGCCUAACACAUGCAAGUCGAACGGUAACAGGAAGCAGCUUGCUGCUUUGCUGACGAGUGGCGGACGGGUGAGUAAUGUCUGGGAAACUGCCUGAUGGAGGGGGAUAACUACUGGAAACGGUAGCUAAUACCGCAUAACGUCGCAAGACCAAAGAGGGGGACCUUAGGGCCUCUUGCCAUCGGAUGUGCCCAGAUGGGAUUAGCUAGUAGGUGGGGUAACGGCUCACCUAGGCGACGAUCCCUAGCUGGCCUGAGAGGAUGACCAGCCACACUGGAACUGAGACACGGUCCAGACUCCUACGGGAGGCAGCAGUGGGGAAUAUUGCACAAUGGGCGCAAGCCUGAUGCAGCCAUGCCGCGUGUAUGAAGAAGGCCUUCGGGUUGUAAAGUACUUUCAGCGGGGAGGAAGGGAGUAAAGUUAAUACCUUUGCUCAUUGACGUUACCCGCAGAAGAAGCACCGGCUAACUCCGUG